RNAcentral lists this ribosomal RNA (495 nucleotides) under uncultured bacterium. Its description in RNAcentral is "partial 16S ribosomal RNA". It matches the Rfam family "Bacterial small subunit ribosomal RNA", at positions 28 to 507 of the family's 1533-position model. The record is from RNAcentral.
GACGAACGCUGGCGGCGUGCCUAAUACAUGCAAGUAGAACGCUGAAGGAGGAGCUUGCUUCUCUGGAUGAGUUGCGAACGGGUGAGUAACGCGUAGGUAACCUGCCUGGUAGCGGGGGAUAACUAUUGGAAACGAUAGCUAAUACCGCAUAAGAGUAGAUGUUGCAUGACAUUUGCUUAAAAGGUGCAAUUGCAUCACUACCAGAUGGACCUGCGUUGUAUUAGCUAGUUGGUGGGGUAACGGCUCACCAAGGCGACGAUACAUAGCCGACCUGAGAGGGUGAUCGGCCACACUGGGACUGAGACACGGCCCAGACUCCUACGGGAGGCGGCAGUAGGGAAUCUUCGGCAAUGGACGGAAGUCUGACCGAGCAACGCCGCGUGAGUGAAGAAGGGUUUCGGAUCGUAAAGCUCUGUUGUAAGAGAAGAACGAGUGUGAGAGUGGAAAGUUCACACUGUGACGGUAUCUUACCAGAAAGGGACGGCUAACUACGUG